AUUGAACGCUGGCGGCAGGCCUAACACAUGCAAGUCGAGCGGAUGAAGGGAGCUUGCUCCUGGAUUCAGCGGCGGACGGGUGAGUAAUGCCUAGGAAUCUGCCUGGUAGUGGGGGAUAACGUCCGGAAACGGGCGCUAUUACCGCAUACGUCCUGAGGGAGAAAGUGGGGGAUCUUCGGACCUCACGCUAUCAGAUGAGCCUAGGUCGGAUUAGCUAGUUGGUGGGGUAAAGGCCUACCAAGGCGACGAUCCGUAACUGGUCUGAGAGGAUGAUCUGUCACACUGGAACUGAGACACGGUCCAGACUCCUACGGGAGGCAGCAGUGGGGAAUAUUGGACAAUGGGCGAAAGCCUGAUCCAGCCAUGCCGCGUGGGUGAAGAAGGUCUUCGGAUUGUAAAGCACUUUAAGUUGGGAGGAAGGGCAGUAAGUUAAUACCUUGCUGUUUUGACGUUACCAACAGAAUAAGCACCGGCUAACUUCGUG
RNAcentral lists this ribosomal RNA (484 nucleotides) under uncultured bacterium. RNAcentral's name for it is "partial 16S ribosomal RNA". It matches the Rfam family "Bacterial small subunit ribosomal RNA", at positions 30 to 507 of the family's 1533-position model. The record is from RNAcentral.